Populus nigra (black poplar) is the source of this 6655-nucleotide RNA transcript. RefSeq lists it as uncharacterized. NCBI's taxonomy places the organism in Eukaryota, Viridiplantae, Streptophyta, Magnoliopsida, Malpighiales, Salicaceae. The transcript has 8 exons. The record is from RefSeq and is a predicted model, not a curated record.
UAAGUCAAGUUGCGAUUUUGACAAGGUCCAGCUUACUGGUAUGGUGUGCCUCUCCUGUGCAGUGGGAUUAUGGCUAUUUUAUACUAAUGGAUUAGAUUGUCACUGUCUAUUUGGGAGACAUGUAGUAGCGUUCAUAUGCCACUUUCUCUCUGUUUUUUUUCCCCUGCCUUUGCAUCUCUGUUUUCUAUCUUUUUCUCAAUGGUCCAGCUGUGGUUGGAAUCCUGUUAAUGUGAUUGGUUUGGUCUUAAGUUUCAGGUUGUCUGUUUCUCUGUCUUUUAUUCUCUGUGGCAAACGCCUUAUGCUCUACGGUUUAGAUUGCUCUUUGUUGCUCUAUUUGUGACAUUGUCAUUGCAGUCUUUGUGUUACAGGCAUGCAUGCAUGCCUGCUGUUUGCUUUAGGCAGGGUGAUGUGUUUCAUGUGGAGGUUGAUUAUGCAGGUCUGGCUCUGCAACUGAAUGGGGACUCUGUGCUUUCAUGGUUGCAAAACACCUCCAGGUCUAUUUUGUUCAAAACUCAAUAGAGGCCCUGUUUUUAGCUUCUGCUUUUGAAAUAUUUUAAUCUCCAUUGAAACGCAAGAUGCUCCUCCAAAAUAGAGGUCCGUCCAUGCACUGCCAUAAGUCACACGUCCCUUGCAUUCAAUAUUUCAUGACAGCUAUCUCUUUCUAGCUCUUUAUCCUUCCACAUGACCACAACUUUAGCAUUAACAUACUCUUAAUCCAUCACAUACAUGUUGCUUUUUUUAUUAUUAUUCUUUCAUUAAUUCAUACCACAUUCGUUCUUCGCAAUGAGUCAAAUUGUUUUUGGCAUUGGUAAAAAAAAAAAAAAUUGAAUUUUUUUACAAUUCCACCCUGCGUUUGAGUUUGAGGAAAACAACCACCGAUGCGAAGAGAUAAGCUUAUAACGAUCGUGACCUUCAAAUGGCUUGUCUUUCCACUAAUAGCUGAAGAAGAUCCAUCAUGCAGUGUGCUAUCACCAUCAAGUUUGGAUGAACCAGCCAUACCAGCUCACCGUCAACGUCUCUCGCCUUCCGCGCACAAGCGGAUCAUUCUUCGCCAUGUGUUCUCUGCAUGAAGACAAAAAGAAAAGGGGAGUACUCAGAUUUAUCGUAUGUGGUUCUGUUUUUUUGUUUAUUGUUGUUUUUAUAAAUGGUUUUUCCAAUUAUUUUUUUUUUAAUUUCAUUAUAUUUUUUGUUUUUUUUCUUGUCAAAUCUAAUUUUUUAUUAUUGUAUUUUUUUUAUCUUCAAGAUUUUUAGAUUGAUUUUUUUUUUAUUUCAUCCUCCAAUAUUUAAUUGAACAAGUGUUAAGCUUUUUAGCUUAGUCUAGGUGUAGAAUUUAACGGUUUACAAGUUUAAAAAAUUAACUCUGAUUUACAAAGUUGACAUGAAUACGGAUUUCCGUUGUUUUUUUGUUUUUUUAAAAGCUUUUUUCCAUCCUAUACCAUUCUGUUAUUUUUUUAAUUAUCUUUAAAUGAGAUUUUUGUAGUCAAUUUUAAAAUUAGAAGGUCGCCUUGCUUUUAGUUUUUUUUUCUUUUCUUUUUUGUCUUUAUUACAUUUAGAUUUUCUAAAAGAAUUUUGUUUUUGAAUUGAAUUGAAUUAAUUGAUUUCAUCAUCAAACAUUUAAUUUUUUAGGUGUUGAGCUCCUGAAUUGAACCCGGGUCAGGAAUUUAGUAGAUUGCGAGUUUGGAAGUUUAACCUGGAUUUACAAGGUUUUGACAACUUCACUUGAUUUUGCUGAUGCUUUCUUUUUUAAUACUUUUUUUCAUUGAUUUUUUUUUCUAAUGAUCAAUCAUUAUUGUUUUUAGCUCUCUUUCUAUGGUGUCAAGUCGUUGAUUUUUUUCCUUUCUUUAAAAUCCAAUAAUAACGCUUAAGCAUCUUUUUUUACGCUACAGAAAAAAUCAGCCUGGCCCGUAGCGAAGCGCGGGCCAUCUAUCUAGUUUUCUCUCUAUGAUUUGAUCCUUUUGAAACAAAAUUAGUAGCCAACUGUUUUUAAUUUACUAUAGUUGAAAAAAAUAUACAAUAUAAAUCUUAAAAAUAAAUCUUAUAAUAAAAUCUUGCAUAUUGUUAAAACAAAAACAAUAAAUAAUAAAUAUAUUAAACAAAUGUUUUGUUCACAUUUUUUCUUUCAAAAAACAUAUAUUUAAUAUCAAAUCACUUUUCCUAUUUAAUUAACACUAAAAAAAACAACUUUUAUAAUGUAGACACUAUACAUUAAUUACCAGGUUGAAAAGCAAAGCAUUCAAGCGGUGUUAAAAAGGAUUAAUAGGAUGACAAUUUGUAAUGAUUUAUAUAAGAAUAUUAAUGAUUUUAAGAUAUAAAAUAGAUUAAAAAAAUAUAGUAAUUGAAAUUCAGAUUUUGUUCAAGUAAUGAAAACUAUCACAUGUACAAUCACUAAACCAACCAUGAGAAUUGAUAUUUUAUUUUCUCUUUCAAACUAUUAAAAAGAAUAAUAUUUUUAAAAAUAAAAAAUAAAAAACAGCAAAGCCCCCUUGAUGAUAAAAAUGCAUUGUCUCGAUAUCUUUUCUACGAUAAAAAAAAUUAUAGGCCCACAGUAUAGAGCGAGCCACCUAUCAAAUAAUGAUUGGUGAUUUUAGCUCUCUUUCUAUGGUGUCGAGUCGUUAAUUUUUUUAUCUUCUUUAAAAUCCAAUAAUAACGCUUAGGCAUCUUUUUAUUACACUACAUAAAAAAUCAGUAUGGCCCGUAGCAAAGUGUGGGCCAUCUAUCUAGUUUUCUUUUUAUUAUUUGAUCUUUUUGAACAAAAUUAGUAGCCAAUUGUUUUUAAUUUACUAUAGAAGGAUAAGAAUCAAGGAUAAAAGACUAAAGUGAAAAACUUCAGGUAAAUAAGUUGUGCUUUUAAAAUUCAAAUAAAAAAUUUACUUUGAUCCUCUACCUUUCUAAUGAAGACAUUUUCAGUCCUUAUAGUUUUUGAAAAAUUUAUUUUUGAUACACAACUUUAUGUUCAGUCCUUAGAUUGAAAGAAAAGAGAGAGUUUCUAGAUUCUGAAGGAAGACAGAGAAAAAGUUGGUAUGCACUAAUUCCAUCCAUAAAAAAAAUCGUUCAUAAUUUAACAAGUUUCAUUCGAUAAGAGAAGUUUCACUAAGGUAUUUUUUAGCCUUCACCUUACUUAAGGGAAUAGAUAUGGAGAUGGGAAGGGUUUUGUUUUUAAUUUAGGUUUAUUUUUGGUUUUUUGAAUGAUUUUUUGGGUUGUUUGAAGCCAUGUAAUAGUUUAUUUAGGUCUUUACGAUAUUUUUUAAAUGUAAAAAAUUAUUAAAAAAUAUUUUUUUAGAUAAAAAAAAUACUCAUACCUUGACUUUCUGGCUACCCUUUGGUCGUCAUAUUCUAGGCCAAUAGACUUAUCCAAUCCAUAUAUAUAUAUAUAUAUAUAUAUAUAUAUAUAUAUAUAUAUAUAUAUAUAUCAUUAUAAAUAAAUAAAAGAGACUUAACUUACAAAAAAAUUGUAAUGCAUAUUAUAGUACAUGAUUAUAUUUUUUUAUUAAAAAAUUACUUUUAAACAACAUAAAGACCUUGAAAUGAAUUUAAAUGACAUUAGAGAUUUUUCUUAUUCAUGGUUGAAAAAAAUAUACAAUAAAAAUCUUAUAAUAAAAUCUUGCAUAUUGUUAAAACAAAAAUAAUAAAUAAUAAAUAUAUUAUACAAAUUUUUUGUUCAAAGUUUUUUUCUUUCAAAAAACAUAUCUUUAAUAUCAAAUCACUUUUCUUAUUUAAUUAACACUAAAAAAAACAACUUUUAUAAUGUAGAAACUAUACAUUAAUUACCAGGUUGAAAAGCAAAGCAUUCAAGUGGCAUUAAAAAACAUUAAUAGAAUUUGUUUUUUGUUCUUAUCCGGGCAUUCUCACGCCCUUUUAAAGGACGAGGCUAGUCCUGUUUGGGGUUCGUGGCUACCCCUCCCAAUAAGUAUGCUUUCCAAGAAUUGAACUUGUGUUCUCACCUUUACUGGAAUAUAACAGUGUCUUAACCGCUAGACCAACACUUCAUUUAUAUUUAUAUAUAUAUAAAAAAAAAACAAGAAGAUAGAUUUUGUUCAAGUAAUGAAAAGUAUCACAUAUACAACCACUAAACCAACCAUGAGAAUUGAUAUUUUAUUUUCUCUUUUAAACUAUUAAAAGGAAUAAUAUUUUUAAAAAUAAAAAAUAAAAAACAGUGAAGCCCCCUUGAUGAUAAUGUUUCUUGUUUGAAUGGGCAAAUCUAGAAACUACUAAAUGGGCUUAGGUCUUGUACAUAGAAUUCAGUGAUCAGACCCAAUAUGGCCAUCUCAUUAUUAAAUAUUAAUGGUAUCUCUGGUCACUUAUUAGUAUUUUUUUUUACCAUAAAUAUUUCCUUUUCAUAUGUUAAUUAGAGUUAGACUAGCCACAGUGUCCCAUUUCAUUGCAUGGCUAAAUUAUUUAAAAACAAAAUAAUGAUGAGAUGUUUAAAUAAGAUAAAAUAAUAAUAAUAAUAAGUCAUGAUAAAUUUAUAACCAAUGGUAAUCAAUUUGAACCAACUAAAGAAAUUUUGUUAAAUUUAUAAUUUAGAUAAUGAGAUUGGAAUAACUUAAUAAAAAAAAUAAAGAGAAUUAUAAAGUCUUUUUUUAAAAAAAACUAUAGUUAAAUUUUCAAACUCGUGACCUUAGUCAUUAGACCUGAAGCACCUAAUUUAAACUAAUCAUGAAGUUCAAUUCCCAAUCAAUCAAAUAUUGAAUGAUGAAAUAAAAAACAUUUAAUUAUAUAAAAUCACUAAAAAUAACAAUUAAAAUAAUAAGAAUCAUAAUUAAAAUACAAAAUAAAUUUUAUAUUUGAUUGAAGGGUGAAGUUGAGAUGAAAAGAACUCAACAAUAAAUAUUCUGGCUCAUUCUCAAAACUUGCAUGCCCAAAUCCUCCUGUCGAUAUAAAUGGUUAAACUAGCAAUAUUCCAAUUCAACUUUUCAAAAAGUUGAUCCUCCACUUGUAAAGAAUGACAAAUAACUUUCAGUGCGAUAAGAAAAUUUUCUAAAUUUUUUUUUAAAAAAACAUAUCAUUUUCUUUACAAAAUUUUCAAAAAGUCAAUCUCAACCUCCCCUAUAUAAAGAGCCUCCUCUCAAGCUUUAGAGGCAGAACUACAUAGAUGAGUUUCUUUGUAUAAGGCAUCAAUACUCUUCUUUGGUAAUUCCUUGUAACCUUUUAUAUUGCCAUCUAUUAUCUUGUAAACACAUCCAUAUUGUUUUAUUCAAACCUUAUAACUUAUAUCUUCAUAUUGGUUUCUAUACAAAUUUAAGUAAGAUUCCUUUAAAUAUCAUUUCUAUAUAUAUUUAAAUUCUACUUAUUAUUCUGUAUUUAUAUUUCUACAAAAUUAAGUAUGCUUUGUAUUUAGUAGAAGAUCCUAUCAUGUCUAGACUUACCUCUUCAUUCACGUCAGAAAUUUGUUUAUAGUUUUGUAUUUUGUUUUAAAAUCAAGUAUAUCGGCUAGAAAUUUGUGAUAAGAUCUUAAGAUCAUUCUUAGGUGUAACAACGUCACGUACUUGUUUUGUCUUUGUUUUAUCUUUGUUUACAUCUAUCUUUAGUUUGUGUGUGUGUGUGUGUAAAUGAAAAUUUUCUAUGAAAUUGAAUUAUGCUAAAUUGUUAGAAGAAAUUGAAUGAAACCAUUUGGUUUGUGGCACAUAUAUUGUGUAUUUGCAGGUUUAAAAAUUUUGGGUUGUCUCUUAUAUAUGGGAGGUGCUGCCAAAUAUUUUUUUUUUAAAAUAGGAAUCAUUUAGUUUUUUUUAUUUGUUAAUUUGUGUAAAUGCCUAGGAGAAAGUUUAUUGUACGUUAUGAGGACAAGAUCAUUGCUAGUUCUUUUAACAGUGAUGUUGAUGACCACGAGUCAUUAGAUGCCAACCGAGAACAAACACUUGAGGCAUAAGCAUCGACUCAUGACGUAAGCUCUUUGAGUGAGAUGCCGAAAUGUCAAGGGGGGACUUCAUAGUGGGAUUCAUUUAUCCGCAAGUACGAGGCCUAGUGGAAGGAUAAUCUUUCAAUGGAAAAUUCAAAUGGGAGAGAGCUGAUAAUAAUGUUAUAAGGAGAGUUUGGAAGAAUCACGCUGCAAUUAGGUUGCAUGAUUUUUUGUAUGUGGUGAAAAAAAAAAAACCAAAAAAUAUGCGAAAAAAGAGCUUCUAGGUUGAAAUGAUGUGGCAGUUUGAAAGGAUUUUAGAUCGUCGUAUAUCUUAGAGGCUAUAUGGACAGAAUACAUUCAGCACAUGACGUCGACUCAUUUCACGCGACAAUCACAGUCCAGUGUAGAAAAUUAGAACUGGAGUGUUCAUGGUUUUGUUACCACUCUCAAUGACAGCUUUAUUCUGUUUGUUUUGUAUAUGAAGUGAAUGGCUACGGUUCUUGGACACGAGCUAAACCCGAUGAAGCUUUUUUGUUGAAACACAUGUAUAGAGUGAUGACUACCAAAAAAAGGAUGCAACAAGUCAUGGAUAGCCGAGCUCAGCACUUUGUGCUGGUUGAAGGAGAAAUACAGGGAUGAUCCUUUGACCUAUCCCAAUCUCGAUCCGGAUUUGUAGUUAAAGGCAUGAUUAUCUAGUUGACCUAAUAGAAAUCAGGUGUACGAAAUUUCUAACACUAUAGCUGAGAACUUGCAAACAACUCAUAUUGUUUCGACUAUUGGAUGCUCGCAAUUAAUUUUAAGUACUCAAACUUUGGAGUU